UGGGGAAUCUUGCGCAAUGCGCGAAAGCGUGACGCAGCAACGCCGCGUGGGGGAAGAAGGCCUUCGGGUUGUAAACCUCUUUCAGUUGGGACGAAGUUUCGCCGGUGAAUAGCCGGCUGGAAUGACGGUACCUUCAGAAGAAGCCCCGGCUAACUACGUGCCAGCAGCCGCGGUAAUACGUAGGGGGCAAGCGUUGUCCGGAAUCAUUGGGCGUAAAGCGCGUGUAGGCGGCCCGAUUAGUCCGCUCUGAAAGUCCAGGGCUCAACCCUGGGAUGCGGGUGGAUACUGUCGGGCUAGAGUCCGGAAGAGGCGAGUGGAAUUCCUGGUGUAGCGGUGAAAUGCGCAGAUAUCAGGAGGAACACCAAUGGCGAAGGCAGCUCGCUGGGACGUGACUGACGCUGAGACGCGAAAGCGUGGGGAGCAAACAG
RNAcentral lists this ribosomal RNA (428 nucleotides) under uncultured bacterium. Its description in RNAcentral is "bacterial SSU rRNA". It matches the Rfam family "Bacterial small subunit ribosomal RNA", at positions 355 to 775 of the family's 1533-position model. The record is from RNAcentral.